CCUACGGGGGGCAGCAGUCGAGAAUCUUUCACAAUGGGGGAAACCCUGAUGGUGCGACGCCGCGUGGGGGAAUGAAGUUCUUCGGAUUGUAAACCCCUGUCAUGUGGGAGCAAAUUAGAGAGAGAGUACCACAAGAGGAAGAGACGGCUAACUCUGUGCCAGCAGCCGCGGUAAUACAGAGGUCUCAAGCGUUGUUCGGAAUCACUGGGCGUAAAGGGUGCGUAGGCUGUUUCGUAAGUCGUGUGUGAAAGGCGCGGGCUCAACCCGCGGACGGCACAUGAUACUGCGAGACUAGAGUAAUGGAGGGGGAACCGGAAUUCUCGGUGUAGCAGUGAAAUGCGUAGAUAUCGAGAGGAACACUCGUGGCGAAGGCGGGUUCCUGGACAUUAACUGACGCUGAGGCACGAAGGCCAGGGGAGCGAAAGGGAUUAGAUACCCGGGUAGUC
RNAcentral lists this ribosomal RNA (446 nucleotides) under uncultured bacterium. RNAcentral's name for it is "partial 16S ribosomal RNA". It matches the Rfam family "Bacterial small subunit ribosomal RNA", at positions 338 to 795 of the family's 1533-position model. The record is from RNAcentral.